CAAGAAAUGAGCGUCCCAGGUGUGCCAUGCAGUGGGAGCUGCAAGCUGCACCUCUUGCUGAAGACAGUGACACAAGGAGCUGACAAAGAGAAGAACCCAGGGACUGCAGGAAGCCCUGAGGCAGCUGAAGGGACAUGCUUUUGGAAGGUGGAUUGACAGUCUCGUCUCUCUGCAAGAUAAGUGGGGGACUCUGAGGCAGAGAGGGGAUGAGAGCUGGGUACAGGCUUGGGAAUUGCCAUGAGGGCUUUUGAAAUCAGCGUAGGGAACGGAAUGUUUAAGAUGAAGUCCCCUAGGAGAGGGAAGCAGAGAGGCUGAGUAUUACAGGCAGCACUAGGGUGUGCAGGGCAGAGCAUAGCAUAUCCCCCAUGUAACAUUUUUGUGAGUCUGUCUUUGCAGUUCUUACAGGUCCUUCUUGUCAGAGGUCAUUGUGUGAACCUCUCUUUGUUCUU
Molecule: long non-coding RNA, 449 nt
Organism: Myiozetetes cayanensis
Lineage: Eukaryota; Metazoa; Chordata; Aves; Passeriformes; Tyrannidae
Exons: 3
Source: RefSeq, a predicted model, not a curated record